GGCCAGUUAGCUCAGUCGGUUAGAGCGUAGUGCUGAUAACACCAAGGUCAUAGGUUCAAUCCCCGUUCAGUCCC
Molecule: transfer RNA, 74 nt
Filed under: Apaloderma vittatum (bar-tailed trogon)
Lineage: Eukaryota; Metazoa; Chordata; Aves; Trogoniformes; Trogonidae
Rfam family: tRNA
About the family: Transfer RNA (tRNA) molecules are approximately 80 nucleotides in length.
Source: Rfam by way of RNAcentral